Molecule: ribosomal RNA, 497 nt
Filed under: uncultured bacterium
Lineage: Bacteria
Description: partial 16S ribosomal RNA
Rfam family: Bacterial small subunit ribosomal RNA
Source: RNAcentral
GAUGAACGCUGGCGGCGUGCCUAAUACAUGCAAGUCGAGCGAACAGACGAGGAGCUUGCUCCUCUGACGUUAGCGGCGGACGGGUGAGUAACACGUGGAUAACCUACCUAUAAGACUGGGAUAACUUCGGGAAACCGGCGCUAAUACCGGAUAAUAUAUUGAACCGCAUGGUUCAAUAGUGAAAGACGGUUUUGCUGUCACUUAUAGAUGGAUCCGCGCCGCAUUAGCUAGUUGGUAAGGUAACGGCUUACCAAGGCAACGAUGCGUAGCCGACCUGAGAGGGGGAUCGGCCACACUGGAACUGAGACACGGUCCAGACUCCUACGGGGGGCAGCAGUAGGGAAUCUUCCGCAAUGGGCGAAAGCCUGACGGAGCAACGCCGCGUGAGUUAUGAAGGUCUUCCGAUCGUAAAACUCUGUUAUUAGGGAAGAACAAAUGUGUAAGUAACUAUGCACGUCUGGACGGUACCUAAUCAGAAAGCCACGGCUAACUACGUG